GACGAACGCUGGCGGCGCGCUUAACACAUGCAAGUCGAACGGAAAGGCUUGCUUUCCCUUGUGGAUUGCGGGUACUCGAGUGGCGAACGGGUGAGUAACACGUGAGUGAUCUGCCCCCAACUUGGGUAUAAGCCUGGGAAACUGGGUCUAAUUCCCGAUAGGACUGCAGGGUGGUGCCUGUGGUGGAAAACGAUUUUCUAGUGGUUGGGGAUGAGCUCGCGGCCUAUCAGCUUGUUGGUGGGGUAAUGGCCUACCAAGGCGGCGACGGGUAGCCGGCCUGGGAGGGUGGACGGCCACAUUGGGACUGAGAUACGGCCCAGACUCCUACGGGAGGCAGCAGUGGGGAAUAUUGCACAAUGGGCGGAAGCCUGAUGCAGCGACGCCGCGUGGGGGAUGACGGCCUUCGGGUUGUAAACUCCUUUCGACCGCGAGGAAGCCACCUGGUUGGAAGGGUGGUGACGGUAGUGGUAGAAGAAGCACCGGCUAACUACGUG
This 494-nucleotide ribosomal RNA is filed under the name uncultured bacterium. RNAcentral's name for it is "partial 16S ribosomal RNA". It matches the Rfam family "Bacterial small subunit ribosomal RNA", at positions 28 to 507 of the family's 1533-position model. The record is from RNAcentral.